UAGUGGCGGACGGGUGAGUAACGCGUAGGAAUCUGCCUUAUGGUGGGGGACAACAGUUGGAAACGGCUGCUAAUACCGCAUGAUACCUUCGGGUCAAAAGUUGCUUUCGGGCAGUCGCUGUACGAUGAGCCUGCGUUGGAUUAGCUAAUUGGUGGGGUAAAGGCCUACCAAAGCGAUGAUCCAUAGCUGAUCUGAGAGGAAGAUCAGCCCAACUGGGACUGAGACACGGACCAAACUCCUAAGGGAGGCAACAGUGGGGAAUAUUGGACAAUGGGGGCAACCUUGAUCCAGCAAUAACACGUGUGUGACAAAGGACUUAGGGUUGUAA
RNAcentral lists this ribosomal RNA (328 nucleotides) under uncultured Thiotrichales bacterium. RNAcentral's name for it is "bacterial SSU rRNA". It matches the Rfam family "Bacterial small subunit ribosomal RNA", at positions 93 to 428 of the family's 1533-position model. Lineage: Bacteria; Pseudomonadati; Pseudomonadota; Gammaproteobacteria; Thiotrichales. The record is from RNAcentral.